RNAcentral lists this long non-coding RNA (340 nucleotides) under Cyanistes caeruleus (blue tit). Its description in RNAcentral is "lncRNA (ENSCCEG00000019382.1)". The record is from RNAcentral. Lineage: Eukaryota; Metazoa; Chordata; Aves; Passeriformes; Paridae.
ACUUUUCAUUACACAAUGUUUUACUAUACAUUUGUGUCUUACAGCUCCUCUGCCAUAUGGAUUCUUCAAUAUCUAGUUCAAGAACUGAGUUUACACUGCAGUCUUCCACCCAUUGAGAGCACUGGCUGGGCUUUUCAAACAGUUCCCACAGGUGGCAUUCUAUCACAUCUACGUCUUUUGCAGAGGACAUUGCAUUUAAGGAACCACAAGGACUUGCCAGUCACUAAAUCCUGUGUCUGCAUGAUGAAGGCACUGCAUAAAAACACUAGGGGAUGGAUGCAAACAAUGUGCUUGUGAGAGUGACAAUAAAACAGAGAUGACAGCUUAAAGAGAGAAUGAU